CCAGUAACAUCAUUAAACAUCUACUAUAGAGUCAUGGCAAGAUUAACAGCCGGCUACGGAAGCUACUUGCGCAAGAAGUACCUUUCCAGAUUAAAUCAGGAAUUUGACUGGCUGCAAUGU
Molecule: long non-coding RNA, 120 nt
Organism: Haliotis rubra (blacklip abalone)
Lineage: Eukaryota; Metazoa; Mollusca; Gastropoda; Lepetellida; Haliotidae
Exons: 3
Source: RefSeq, a predicted model, not a curated record